This is a long non-coding RNA of Chenopodium quinoa (quinoa), 610 nucleotides long. RefSeq lists it as uncharacterized. The record is from RefSeq and is a predicted model, not a curated record. The transcript has 2 exons. NCBI's taxonomy places the organism in Eukaryota, Viridiplantae, Streptophyta, Magnoliopsida, Caryophyllales, Amaranthaceae.
UAAGUGCAAACAAUACAAUGUCCAAAGUGGUCAGCUUUUGUAUCACCUUCAUUUACCUCACCUUCUUGCUAAGCUUUACUGCCGCUCGACUCGUGCAUACUGAUCAAGUACUGCAAAAACAACAGAGUAAACAUGGACACAAGUAAAGCUAAAAUCAGAGACGAAAUCAAUAGUGAGAUGCUGGAUACUUGUUCAGGAGGUCUCUGGCGGCGCACCUUGAUUAUAUCUACACACAGGAGCAGCCAGCAGAAACUCCAUGAUGACACAUUAAGUACCAUUCCUUAAAACCAUAAGCAGCUAAUAUAUGAUAAUAAGAAGAAACUUUUGUAAAAGAAGUAUCCCUUCCCACUGUUCCCUUAGGUAUACAAAAUAUAGUUAUAUGAGAUGGUUGCAUACCUGCCUCAUAUGUUGAGUGUUAACACCAGUAGGAGUUGAGAAAGGUAUGAAAGAGUGAGCUAGCAACUCAAUACAAUUAUGGUUAUGUUCGGUUUGAAAGAUUCCUAUGGAAUUAGAAUAUAUUUUUCAUGAAACUUAAUACAUAUUAUAUUGAAGCUAGAAACUUAAAUACCCAUUGAAUGUUUAUUUAUAAGAAAUAGUAUGAUUAAGGGUU